UCAUUCACGUGACAGCGGCGCCACGCCCAAAGCGUCUAGCGUCGGACGCCCGAUAAAUGCUCGUGAUUCUGUGGUUUGUUUUUUGUUGGCUUUGGAGAGGAUAUGGACUGAAAAAAAAUGCACAACCUGGAAGUUGAGAAUUAUGUUUUAUUCAGCGCACUUGCUGAGGACUUGAGCCCGGGAGACAGCCUCUCAGAUAUCUCCGACGGACUGUUCUGAAGAGGGUGCACCUUCAGGGACAGCUGCAGUGAUUGAUGGUUUGACGGCCACACCAUUCUUUGCUAACUGAAAUGGCAGGCAGCAUUCGAUGUCUACAUAGGUAAUUUCUCAGUGUCACACAGCUAGACAGAAACCCAGAUUUUUACCCUCCAAAUCCCGAGUUCUUGCCCCUAAGUACAGGUAACCCUUGAAUACCUCUGGGAUUAGGGGCCAAAAAUUCAUUUAUAACUUUACAGUAGGUCCUCCGUAUUGCAGUCCACAUCUGCAGGUUCAAUCAACCAUAGAGUACUCGCUCUGUGACCUUGAGAUGUCAGUUCUAAGCCUUGGGUUUGUUAGGUAAAAAUGGACAUCAUUGUGGUACCUGCAUAGCAAACCACUGCAGAAUUUAGUGGCUAACACAAAUAAUUUGUUAGGAUUCUGUGAGUUGACUGGGCUCAGCUGGGCAGUUCUAGAUUGGGGUUUCAUGCAUUUGAAGUUCGAUGUCAGCUGAGACUUUAGUUAACUUUGGGCUCCAAUGGAGAUUAUAUUGUAGGCACUUUAAGGUGUAAGCCCUCUAGGGGCUCAUCUAGAGCUAUCCACCAGAGUGCCUACACAUGGUCUUCUCCCUCUGGUUUGGAUCUCUCAGGGCAAAUCGCUGGGUUCUGAUAGGGAACACUCGGAAAUAGAGCAGAAAGUGAGCUGUUCCAAGCCAUACAGCAGGAAGCUCAAGGACAGGACUUCAUAUGAUCUAGCCUUGGGAGUAGAAGUUACUUCUGUCACAUUUUGUUAAUCAAGGAAUCUCCCCAGAUUCAAGGGGAGAUAGGGAAGAUUCCUCCUCUUAAUUGAACGAGUAGCAAAGAAUUUAUGGCCAUCUUUAAUUUACCACGCUUUACCACGCUUUAAUUUACCUCAUUUGUUU
Molecule: long non-coding RNA, 1117 nt
Organism: Orcinus orca (killer whale)
Lineage: Eukaryota; Metazoa; Chordata; Mammalia; Artiodactyla; Delphinidae
Exons: 3
Source: RefSeq, a predicted model, not a curated record